This 1857-nucleotide long non-coding RNA is filed under the name Haliotis rubra (blacklip abalone). RNAcentral describes it as "uncharacterized LOC124262406". Lineage: Eukaryota; Metazoa; Mollusca; Gastropoda; Lepetellida; Haliotidae. The record is from RNAcentral.
GUAAAUCCUGAAACCCUCCCCUAGUUACAUGUAAACCAAGGAACCCCUCCCCUAGUUACAUGUAAACCCAGGAACCCCUCCCCUAAUUACACGUAAAUCCUGAAACCCUACCCUAGUUACAUCUAAACCCAGGAACCACUCCCCUAGUUACAUGUAACCCCAGGAACCCCUCCCCUAGUUACAUCUAAACCCAGGAACCCCUCCCAUAGUUACAUGUAAACCCUGAACCCCACCCCUAGUUACAUGUAAACCCAGGAACCACUCCCCUAGUUACAUGUAAACCCACCCCAACUGCAUUUCUAUUCCAGUCAUGUUUUACAUUUAAAGGGACACAAACUUUUUAUUUCUGUAUUUGCCAGGAAAGAAGAAUAAUGACCUUAGUAUUUUAAUGAGAAAUGCUUCAAUUUGGAAUCAAUUCCAACAUAAUCAGUUUGUUGUCACCCUGUAUGUGAAAAAUGCCGGUGAUAAUUUUUGUUGCAUAUAAACUGUGUGCAUAAUUCCACUGUGAUGAUGGCACAAACUUGCUCAACCUUUGCCAAUACUUCUUGUUAGUUUUCUUCCUAGUACUGCUGCUAGGAUUUCCUAGAACGAAGACAGUCACAGUCGUCUUUGCCAGUACUACUGGUGGGAUUUCCUAGAAGGGAGACAGUUGUCUUUGUCAGUACUGGAUAGAACGGAGACAGUCGUCUUUGCCAGUACUGGAUAGAAUGAAGACAGUCGUCUUUGCCAGUACUGGAUAGAACGGAGACAGUCGUCUUUGCCAGUACUACUGGUGGGAUUUCCUAGAAGGGAGACAGUUGUCUUUGUCAGUACUGGAUAGAACGGAGACAGUCGUCUUUGCCAGUACUACUGGUGGGAUUUCCUAGAAGGGAGACAGUUGUCUUUGUCAGUACUGGAUAGAACGGAGACAGUCGUCUUUGCCAGUACUACUGGUGGGAUUUCCUAGAAGGGAGACAGUUGUUUUUGUCAGUACUGGAUAGAACGGAGACAGUCGUCUUUGCCAGUACUACUGGUGGGAUUUCCUAGAACAGAGACAGUUGUUUUUGUCAGUACUGGAUAGAACGGAGACAGUCGUCUUUGCCAGUACUACUGGUGGGAUUUCCUAGAACAGAGACAGUUGUUUUUGUCAGUACUGGAUAGAACGGAGACAGUCGUCUUUGCCAGUACUGUGUAGUUGGUUUCACAUAGAUUUCACACGUUGUUUUUCUGUCAUGCUAACCUGUAGAUAAACAUGAUAUUUAUUGUGUCUGAGAGUGGGACAGACUCAGGCUUGUAUUGCGUGUAUGCAUACUGGAUCAUCCAGUGUUUCAUAUAGAUGUUCUGUUCUAAAUAACCUGGCAUCACAGUGGCUUCAUACACCACCAAAACUAGCAGGACACUGUAAUGUUUCACAUCCAACAAGGGGAGGCAACUAAAGCAGGUUUCAAUUCUAACUGGAAACAGACACAACCUAAAGAAACAGGAUUUGGAAGAUGUGGUUGUAUGACUUGCCGAUCAGUAACAUGUUGCUUUCCCUCCACUAGCCUGUCAAGGAUUUCAAUAUCCCUCCACUAGCCUGUGAAGGAUUUCAAUAUCCCUCCACUAUCCUGUCAAGGAUAUUAGUAUCCCAGUAUUUGCUGAUCAGUAACUCAUUACAAACCUGAAUGUUGCCAGUUCUCCCCUGUCCCCCCACUGGGGAGUCUACCAGCCUGGCCUGUUUAUGUCCCGUGAAUGAGUGAGUGAGUCAGUAAGUGUUGUGUGAGGGGAGUUAUUCCAUGUUGCCUGAAUUCUGUGACAGCUGUGUUUAAACUAUCAGGGUGUGUCUAACAAUCACUUCUCUUCACUUUGUCAGUAGAGCAUUAAACUGUCAGUAGCCAG